CCACCGGGCCAGCCGACGGGCGUGAUGGGAGCCGAGGAGCGACAGUUGAGGCGCGCGAGGGAUCGCGAUCCAGCCGAGGCGAGCGACGGGAUCCACCAGCGCCGGGUGAAUCGUGUGCACCGGCCGAUCCAGCCGAGGCGACCGAUCCUACUGCGAAGAAAGGAAGCGCGCGACGGGAUCUAGCGCCGCGGGCGAUUAUGGCCAGCGCCUCAUCUUCUGGAAACUGCUCGCAAUCAUAUCUCAGUUUCUCAGCGCGCAUUCAUGGCGAUUCAUGCGCCAAUCCUUUCCGCUGCCGAGCGGUACGUGUAUAUAUUGCUUCCUCCUCUGGUACUCUUCGCUCACCCUCUCUAUUCCGGCAGCACAACAUCUUAGAACAUAAUGCUCGGGGAGGAGAACGGAGACACAAAAGGCUGCUGCUCCGAUGCUUGCUGGCAUGGCGCGCAAGCGCGGCAUGGGCCGUCCGAGUAUGCCUACGGCGCCUUCAAGUGGACCUGUCUCUCAGGCUAUGACUAAUCUGCUAAUUCGUUACUCCCAACUAUACUUGAUUGCUAGCAGUUCCUUGCGGUAUUCCAAAGUCUAAUUUGCCGUUCAUGUUAAAUGAAUUGUUUGUUUCAAGCUCUUGAUUCAUGUUUCUGUAUCAUUCAUGCCAUGGUAUUAUUUUGCUGUAUGCGGUGCAGUUUACUUUUGUGUUUCGUGAAGGCGUGAGGCGACGGUAAUGCCACGAUGACACAACUAGCUAGACGGGUACAUGUUGUCUCCCCCUGAAUGUGUUCCUUGAUAUUUUAUAAUGAUGCUUCAGCUCCAUGUAGGAAUAGGCAGCUGUGGAUACAUGCCGACUUGCACGCUGCAUUGUAGCCUUCAAGUGGGAGUAAUGCGUGUGGCUCUUAGUAAUGCAUGGGCGGGUAUGGAUUAUCCUACUUGUCAUUUCUGAUCCUAGCAGUGUGCUUAUUGAGGAUAUGUCGGUUCACCUGAGUCAGGGGCAAGGAGCAUGAGAGUAUAUGGAGUUGAAUAUGAUACCAAAUAACAGAGGAUGUAAUGAUGAUUCUUUGCCCUAGAACUGGCCCUUGGGUCGCUACAAAUUUGUUUUGAGAUUUGGACUUUUGAUAAUACUGUGUUUUAAAAUGAAUACUAUUUAUUUAGAGUUUUCAUUGUCAGUAUAGAUCUUUUUUCUUAGAUUUCAAAUCGUUUCAUAGUAAGAAUCCUGAAAUUGCUUUGUAUAGUGAUGAAAGUGUGGUUGUUUUGAGAACAACUGCCAUGUUAUCGGCAGUUUGAAAUUAAUGAUUGCCAGCUCUUAAUUGGUGUGGCCAUAUUUAAAAAAGAUCUCAAUUUGAAAUAGUAAUAAUUUGUUCAGGGGUUACUAUCUUUGUCUAUACCUUCUCUUGAUAAACCACAAGUCAGCUGUACUCUUAUCCUGCACAUAGCAAAAUUCUUCCGAUGUGCUUUCUUAUGUUGAGAAGCUACACUAAACCCAAUCUACAUGUACAUCUGUAGUCUGAAAUACUCAAUAUGUGUCAAUAUUGCUUGGCAGAUUAUUAUAUAAUCUAGAUUUAGUUUCUGUGACAGAGAUUGCUGUAGUAUACAAUAGGGAAUCAAUCUCUUUUUAUGUAUCUACAGUAUUUUGGCACUACUAGCUAUUCAUUGCUCUAUAUUUUUAUUUUUAAGUGCUCAAAAUUUCCCGUCAACUGUACUGUAGGAGAUUGGCAAGGCAGAUGCAUCCCUUGAGCUAUUCGGCAUGAGCUCUAUUCUCAUCAUAUAAAGAUUUUUUUCUUUGAUAAGUUCUUGGUACUUUUAUGACUAAUAACUCUUGGUUUUGCUUUUUGUUCUUUCCAGUGCUAUCAGCAGUUCAAAAUUAGUUGAACAAAUCAAAAUGAAUUAGCUAAAAGCACAGGGAACAGAGUUUAUAUGCAUGGUUCUUGAACCAUGAUAGGCGGCAUACGUCGAUCAUCAUUGCUUUUAGUAAUAAACCAACUAGGCAAUAAAGCAGAUAUGCAAGCAUUCUUUAAUUUCUUCCUUUGUAAAUUUGUGCCCUGAUUGUACAUAGUAUAAUUUUCUGUUCCAGAUUUAAUGUAUCACAUCAAUCCCUGACUAAUGUUGAAUAUUACUUGUCCUUUUAUGCAAUUGUUGGUAGUUUGCA
Non-coding RNA from Aegilops tauschii subsp. strangulata, 2134 nucleotides. NCBI's taxonomy places the organism in Eukaryota, Viridiplantae, Streptophyta, Magnoliopsida, Poales, Poaceae. The record is from RefSeq and is a predicted model, not a curated record.